CUGGAGUCGUUUCCAAACACAGCGAGGACAAGGAGAUCUCUGGGAUCUGUCAGCACAGACGUCUAUGUUAUAGUGAAUUACCUUGAGCUGGUUGCAAAACUUGCCUGUUACAAAACUAUAAUUAAUGUUUCAGAAACUCUGGGGAAGAUUUGUUAUUGGCAUGUGAUGGAGCUCUGACCUUAAAUUCCUGAGUCAAAUCUAAGAGAACAAAACCAUGUAUCCCAGCGAGCUUGGCAACAGGAAUAAGAACCAUAAUGUGGCAAAAUCCCAAUAGAGAAGGACUGUUUCAUACCCUGACAUGCUUCUGAAUCCCAUUUGUUGGAAUUUGGUGGAUUCCCAGUUGGAGACAUGAUGAGAUUUCUUGCAGGCAGGUUGUAGUCAAACCCUGCUGAAAUGCCAAGGAGGCACGCUGCCCAUAUCAGCUUUUUCUGGUGCAAUACCAAACCCAUUCUACUACUCCACCAGAAGACCAGGAGAAUAACUUCCAGACAGCCAGUUUUCUUCACCCAUGAGAACUGCAGGCUCCAGAGCAGUAUGGACACACUCCAAGCUGCCUCUGAAUGGACUCACUCCCACGCUCCAGCCUGUGGCAAGAGAACCUUCUCAAGAGCCUCUUCUGAUGAAGCAAUGUCUCCUGUGGCUGCAGUGGCUGGGGAACACCAUGGUUUCCCCAUACCUUUCCCAGGGUGACAAGGGCUUGAGCUGUUUUGCCUUUGUGCCUCCACUUGCCCCAUGCAAUGGCAGUGGGAUAGCCCUGUGAACCAGAGAGAGCUGUUCCAGGCUGGUAAACCUCUUCAGGAAAGGAAUUAAACUUUGAAUCAUCCCUCA
Long non-coding RNA from Vidua macroura (Pin-tailed whydah), 828 nucleotides. RefSeq lists it as uncharacterized. Lineage: Eukaryota; Metazoa; Chordata; Aves; Passeriformes; Viduidae. The transcript has 4 exons. The record is from RefSeq and is a predicted model, not a curated record.